RNAcentral lists this ribosomal RNA (2141 nucleotides) under Drosophila melanogaster (fruit fly). RNAcentral describes it as "eukaryotic LSU rRNA". It matches the Rfam family "Eukaryotic large subunit ribosomal RNA", at positions 1325 to 3185 of the family's 3401-position model. Lineage: Eukaryota; Metazoa; Arthropoda; Insecta; Diptera; Drosophilidae. The record is from RNAcentral.
GCGCUUAAGUUGUAUACCUAUACAUUAGCUAAAGUAGAUGAUUUUAUUACUUGUGAUAUAAAUUUUGAAACUUUAGUGAGUAGAAGGUAAACAAUGGUAUGCGUAGAAGUGUUUGGCGUAAGCCUGCAUGGAGCUGCCAUUGGUACAGAUCUUGGUGGUAGUAGCAAAUAAUCGAAUGAGACCUUGGAGGACUGAAGUGGAGAAGGGUUUCGUGUGAACAGUGGUUGAUCACGAGUUGUCGGUCCUAAGUUCAAGGCGAAAGCCGAAAAUUUUCAAGUAAACAAAAAUGCCUAACUAUAUAACAAGCGAAUUAUAAUACACUUGAAUAAUUUUGAACGAAAGGGAAUACGGUUCCAAUUCCGUAACCUGUUGAGUAUCCGUUUGUUAUUAAAUAUGGGCCUCGUGCUAUCCUGGCAACGGAACGACCAUAAAGAAGCGUCGAGAGAUAUCGGAAGAGUUUCUUUCUUUUUUAGCCGUACUACAUGGAAGUCUUUCGCAGAGAGAUAUGUAGAUGGGCUAGAAGAGCAUGACAUAUACUGUUGUGUCGAUAUUUUCUCCUCGGACUUGAAAAUUUAUGGUGGGACACGCAAACUUCUCACAGGCCGUACCAAUAUCCGCAGCUGGUUCCAAGGUGAAGGUCUCUAGUCGAUAGAAUAAUGUAGGUAAGGAAGUCGGAAAUUAGAUCCGUAACUUCGGGAUAGGAUUGGCUCUGAAGAUUGAGAUAGUCGGGCUUGAUUGGGAAACAAUAAAUGGUUUAUGUGCUCGUUCUGGGUAAAUAGAGUUUCUAGCAUUUAUGUUAGUUACUUGUUCCCGGAUAGUUUAGUUACGUAGCCAAUUGUGGAACUUUUUGCUAAAAUUUUUAAGAAUAUAUUUGGGUUAAACCAAUUAGUUCUUAUUAAUUAUAACGAUUAUCAAUUAACAUCAAUUCAGAACUGGCACGGACUUGGGAAUCCGACUGUCUAAUUAAAACAAAGCAUUGUGAUGGCCCUAGCGGGUGUUGACACAUGUGAUUUCUGCCCAGUGCUCUGAAUGUCAAAGUGAAGAAAUUCAAGUAAGCGCGGGUCACGGCGGGAGUAACUAUGACUCUCUUAAGGUAGCCAAAUGCUCGUCAUCUAAUUAGUGACGCGCAUGAAUGGAUUAACGAGAUUCCUACUGUCCCUAUCUACUAUCUAGCGAAACCACAGCCAAGGGAACGGGUUGGAAUAAUUAGCGGGGAAAGAGACCCUUUUGAGCUUGACUCUAAUCUGGCAGUGUAAGGAGACAUAAGAGGUGUAGAAUAAGUGGGAGAUAUUAGACCUCGGUUUGGUAUCGUCAUGAAAUACCACUACUCUUAUUGUUUCCUUACUUACUUGAUUAAAUGGAACGUGUAUCAUUUCCUAGCCAUUAUACGGAUAUAUUUAUUAUAUCUUAUGGUAUUGGGUUUUGAUGCAAGCUUUUGAUCAAAGUAUCACGAGUUUGUUAUAUAAUCGCAAACAAAAUUCUUUAAUAAAACGAUGCAUUUAUGUAUUUUUGAUUUGAAAAUUUGGUAUAACUCCAAUUACUCAGGUAUGAUCCAAUUCAAGGACAUUGCCAGGUAGGGAGUUUGACUGGGGCGGUACAUCUCUCAAAUAAUAACGGAGGUGUCCCAAGGCCAGCUCAGUGCGGACAGAAACCACACAUAGAGCAAAAGGGCAAAUGCUGACUUGAUCUCGGUGUUCAGUACACACAGGGACAGCAAAAGCUCGGCCUAUCGAUCCUUUUGGUUUAAAGAGUUUUUAACAAGAGGUGUCAGAAAAGUUACAUAGGAUAAUGGCUUGUGGCGGCCAAGCGUUCAUAGCGACGUCGCUUUUUGAUCCUUCGAUGUCGGCUCUUCCUAUCAUUGUGAAGCAAAAUUCACCAAGCGUUGGAUUGUUCACCCAUGCAAGGGAAGUGAGCUGGGUUUAGACCGUCGUGAGACAGGUUAGUUUUACCCUACUAAUGACAAAACGUUGUUGCGACAGCAUUCCUGCGUAGUACGAGAGGAACCGCAGGUACGGACCAAUGGCACAAUACUUGUUCGAGCGAACAGUGGUAUGACGCUACGUCCGUUGGAUUAUGCCUGAACGCUCUAAGGUCGUAUCCGUGCUGGACUGCAAUGAUAAAUAAGGGGCAAUUUGCAUUGU